This 447-nucleotide ribosomal RNA is filed under the name uncultured bacterium. RNAcentral describes it as "partial 16S ribosomal RNA". It matches the Rfam family "Bacterial small subunit ribosomal RNA", at positions 29 to 523 of the family's 1533-position model. The record is from RNAcentral.
AACGAACGCUGGCGGCAGGCUUAACACAUGCAAGUCGAACGCAUCGCAAGAUGAGUGGCAGACGGGUGAGUAACGCGUGGGAACAUACCCUUUUCUACGGAAUAGCUCUGGGAAACUGGAAUUAAUACCGUAUACGCCCUACGGGGGAAAGAUUUAUCGGGGAAGGAUUGGCCCGCGUUGGAUUAGCUAGUUGGUGGGGUAAAGGCCUACCAAGGCGACGAUCCAUAGCUGGUCUGAGCGGAGGAACGGGCACAUUGGGACUGAGACACGGCCCGAACACCUACUGGAGGCAGCAGUGGGGAAUAUGGGACAAUGGGCGCAAGCCUGAUCCAGCCAUGCCGCGUGAGUAAUGAAGGCCUUAGGGUUGUAAAGCUCUUUCACCGAUGAAGAUAAUGACGGUAGUCGGAGAAGAAGCCCCGGCUAACUUCGUGCCAGCAGCCGCCGUAA